Beta vulgaris subsp. vulgaris (sugar beet) is the source of this 1453-nucleotide long non-coding RNA. RefSeq lists it as uncharacterized. NCBI's taxonomy places the organism in Eukaryota, Viridiplantae, Streptophyta, Magnoliopsida, Caryophyllales, Amaranthaceae. The transcript is spliced from 8 exons. The record is from RefSeq and is a predicted model, not a curated record.
AUAAUUUUAGUUCGAAUUUUGGAGUUUCAUCAUUACCUGCGCAUAAAAAACGAAAGCGUAAAUUCAUUUAGUAAUUCGAAUUAUGGUGUUGUUGUUGCCCUGCGUUUCUACUGCCGUUGUUGUUGUUAGCCUUGCUUGUUGGUUGAUUCUAUGCUUCAUUUGUUUGCGGAAGGGUCUGUUUUGAUUAUUAGAUGGAUGGGAGGUUCAUUUGGUGUAGUUUCUCUCUCCUUUGUGACAUAUUCUCAAUGGCAGCGAGCCUCGAGUCACCAUUGCAAGCUUCAACAGCAACCUCAAUCGCCAAGCUAGACACCUCAGCCUUCUUCUCGGCUUCCCAUCUCCAAUUCUUCUGCCCGCGAUAGGAUGUUUAUGCAAAGGAGAGUGUUUGGCUAAGAAAGUGAAAGGUGUCCCUUUUAUGAGUUUCGAUUUGGGCACUUCUCCUACAGUACCUCUAGCCAUGACCGCAAACGAGGUUGGUGAUGUGCCUUGUUGAUAUCAUUACUAAUAAGGUUUUUAGCUUGAUGAUGUCAAUGACUAAGUUGCAUACUUUGAUAGUUUCUACUGUGAUAUCUGUAGCAGUGCAUGGAUUCCGACUCUCUGUAUCUACUCAAUAGCCACUAUAAUGUGAAUAUGGAGACGGGAAGCGGAAAAACAUAUAAAAUGUGGGGACCUGCCAAUGCUUUGCUGUAAGACAACCUCGCAAAUAAGCAACAGGGUUUAAAACCUCGUGUGUUUGAACUGCUUUUUGCUCGAAUAAAUGAGGUCAACUUCAUAUCCUUUUUAUUGUGCUAAGGUGUAUCAAAAAGAGACUGUUGUAUAAAAGUUUUUGUUUUUUUCUCUGUUUUGUGGUGUUCCAAGAACAAAUCAAGCACGCAGACAAACAACUUAAGUAUCAGUGUUGUUGCUCUUUUCUUGAGAUUUACAAUGAACAAAUUACAGAUUUAUUGGAUCCAACUCAGAAGAAUCUUCAGAUAAGGGAAGAUGUCAAAUCUGGCGUUUAUGUGGAAAAUCUCACAGAGGAGUAUGUAUCAACAGCCAAAGAUGUCAUUUGGCUUUUAUUGAAGGAUUUGGGAGAAUCAGUCAUAUGAUCACAAGAGGAAUCUUUUAGAAGGAUAAUGUUGAGAUCGUCAUUGUCAAGGAUCCUCUCAUCACCACAAAUUACAUUAUAUUUUUUAUUGAAGUAUUCAUUUGAAGGAGGGUGAAGAAUGGAGAGGAUUAGAGCAACAAUACAAUGUUGAGUGUUUUUGGUAAUCUUAAUGUAAAGUUGGACAUGUGUAACUUUUUUUCCUUUUGUAGAUUUUGUGAAAAUAUCAUCGAUGUGCUUUUUUAAUAUUGUUUUUGGUAAUCUUAAGCUUCAAAUGGGCUAUUUUUCCUUUAAAGUACAUGAUGAGUACAAUGCUUUCUUUGUUAGAAAGCAACAUCUACUUAUGUUUUCACAAUGAACUGGAAUAGUUUA